RNAcentral lists this ribosomal RNA (229 nucleotides) under uncultured bacterium. RNAcentral's name for it is "partial 16S ribosomal RNA". It matches the Rfam family "Bacterial small subunit ribosomal RNA", at positions 524 to 752 of the family's 1533-position model. The record is from RNAcentral.
UACAGAGGUCCCAAGCGUUUGUUCGGAUUCACUGGGCGUAAAGGGUGCGCAGGUGGGUUUGCAAGUUCGAUGUGAAAGCCCCGGGCUUAACCUGGGAAUGGCGGUUGAAACUAGCAGACUAGAAUCUGGCAGAGGGGGGUGGAAUCCACGUGUAGCAGUGAAAUGCGUAGAGAUGUGGAGGAACACGAUGGCGAAGGCAGCCCCCUGGGCUGAGAUUGACGCUCGAGGC